Molecule: ribosomal RNA, 301 nt
Filed under: uncultured bacterium
Lineage: Bacteria
Description: partial 16S ribosomal RNA
Rfam family: Bacterial small subunit ribosomal RNA
Source: RNAcentral
CAGUCGCCGCGGGAAUACAGAGGGUGCGAGCGUUAAUCGGAUUUACUGGGCGUAAAUCGUGCGUAGGCGGCUUUUUAAGUCGGAUGUGAAAUCCCUGAGCUUAACUUAGGAAUUGCAUUCGAUACUGGGAAGCUAGAGUAUGGGAGAGGAUGGUAGAAUUCCAGGUGUAGCGGUGAAAUGCGUAGAGAUCUGGGGGAAUACCGAUGGCGAAGGCAGCCAUCUGGCCUAAUACUGACGCUGAGGUACGAAAGCAUGGGGAGCAAACAGGAUUAGAUACCCGGGUAGUCCCUGUCUCUUAUAC